CCUACGGGAGGCUGCAGUGGGGAAUAUUGCACAAUGGGGGGAACCCUGAUGCAGCAACGCCGCGUGGAUGAAGAAGUACUUCGGUAUGUAAAGCCCUGUCAGCAGGGACGAAAAUGACGGUACCUGACCAAGAAGCCCCGGCUAACUACGUGCCAACAGCCGCGGUAAUACGUAGGGGGCAAGCGUUAUCCGGAUUUACUGGGUGUAAAGGGAGCGUAGACGGCAAGGCAAGUCUGGAGUGAAAGCCCGUGGCUCAACCACGGGACUGCUUUGGAAACUGUGUUGCUGGAGUGCAGGAGGGGUAAGCGGAAUUCCUAGUGUAGCGGUGAAAUGCGUAGAUAUUAGGAGGAACACCGGUGGCGAAGGCGGCUUACUGGACCGCGACUGACGUUGAGGCUCGAAAGCGUGGGGAGCGAACAGGAUUAGAUACCCUUGUAGUC
This 440-nucleotide ribosomal RNA is filed under the name uncultured bacterium. RNAcentral describes it as "partial 16S ribosomal RNA". It matches the Rfam family "Bacterial small subunit ribosomal RNA", at positions 338 to 795 of the family's 1533-position model. The record is from RNAcentral.